This is a long non-coding RNA of Panthera uncia (snow leopard), 695 nucleotides long. RefSeq lists it as uncharacterized. NCBI's taxonomy places the organism in Eukaryota, Metazoa, Chordata, Mammalia, Carnivora, Felidae. The record is from RefSeq and is a predicted model, not a curated record. The transcript has 2 exons.
AGAUUCCCCAAGGGACACUGGAGAAAGCCUGAAUUCUUAAUCUUCGAAGAAAAAAACAUCAAAAGGAAAAUGGUGUUCAAGCUGUCACUCAUCAGCCUGUUCCUCCUGUUUGUCACUAACACUUUGGGGAGCACUACAACAUUAAUGACCUCAAGGUCUAUGACAGUCUCGAGUCCCGCGAUGAGUCUGAAUUCUCUGACAAUCCCAAAUUCCAAGACAACCUCGAAUUCCAAGACAACCUCGAAUUCCAAGACAACCUCGAAUUCCAAGACAACCUCGAAUUCCAACACAACCUCGAAUUCCAAGACAACCUCGAAUUCCAAGACAAUCUCGAAUUCCAACACAAUCUCAACUCUCAAGACAACUUCAGAUCUCCAAAGAACCUCAAAUACAAAGGUGACUUCAAAUGACAAGAUACUUCUGAAAACAGCAGUGACCCCAAAGAUAGCCACAACCAUGAACACGACGACUAUGGGAAGUGGUGGCACGAAACUGAAUCCAAUGGAGAGCACUCAUUUUCUUUUCUAUAUAAUAUGUUCACUGUUUUGUGUGCACUCAGGCUGAAGUGGACUUGAACUUCUGCAUUCCUAUCUCAGUUCAUUACUAUCUGCCGAAUUACAACAAGCACACUAGGAAAAUCAAAUUUAUUUCAACUUACUUGUUAGGAAGUUAUCAUUAUCCUGGCUUAAUUAGGU